RNAcentral lists this ribosomal RNA (1571 nucleotides) under Salmonella enterica subsp. enterica serovar Enteritidis. Its description in RNAcentral is "partial 23S ribosomal RNA". It matches the Rfam family "Bacterial large subunit ribosomal RNA", at positions 1292 to 2841 of the family's 2925-position model. Lineage: Bacteria; Pseudomonadati; Pseudomonadota; Gammaproteobacteria; Enterobacterales; Enterobacteriaceae. The record is from RNAcentral.
GAAUGCUGACAUAAGUAACGAUAAAGCGGGUGAAAAGCCCGCUCGCCGGAAGACCAAGGGUUCCUGUCCAACGUUAAUCGGGGCAGGGUGAGUCGACCCCUAAGGCGAGGCCGAAAGGCGUAGUCGAUGGGAAACGGGUUAAUAUUCCCGUACUUGGUGUUACUGCGAAGGGGGGACGGAGAAGGCUAUGUUGGCCGGGCGACGGUUGUCCCGGUUUAAGCGUGUAGGUGUGUGUUCCAGGUAAAUCCGGUUCACUUUAACACUGAGGCGUGACGACGAGGCACUACGGUGCUGAAGCAACAAAUGCCCUGCUUCCAGGAAAAGCCUCUAAGCAUCAGGUAACAUCAAAUCGUACCCCAAACCGACACAGGUGGUCAGGUAGAGAAUACCAAGGCGCUUGAGAGAACUCGGGUGAAGGAACUAGGCAAAAUGGUGCCGUAACUUCGGGAGAAGGCACGCUGACACGUAGGUGAAGUGAUUUACUCAUGGAGCUGAAGUCAGUCGAAGAUACCAGCUGGCUGCAACUGUUUAUUAAAAACACAGCACUGUGCAAACACGAAAGUGGACGUAUACGGUGUGACGCCUGCCCGGUGCCGGAAGGUUAAUUGAUGGGGUCAGCGCAAGCGAAGCUCCUGAUCGAAGCCCCGGUAAACGGCGGCCGUAACUAUAACGGUCCUAAGGUAGCGAAAUUCCUUGUCGGGUAAGUUCCGACCUGCACGAAUGGCGUAAUGAUGGCCAGGCUGUCUCCACCCGAGACUCAGUGAAAUUGAACUCGCUGUGAAGAUGCAGUGUACCCGCGGCAAGACGGAAAGACCCCGUGAACCUUUACUAUAGCUUGACACUGAACAUUGAGCCUUGAUGUGUAGGAUAGGUGGGAGGCUUUGAAGUGUGGACGCCAGUCUGCAUGGAGCCGACCUUGAAAUACCACCCUUUAAUGUUUGAUGUUCUAACGUGGACCCGUUACCCGGGUUGCGGACAGUGUCUGGUGGGUAGUUUGACUGGGGCGGUCUCCUCCUAAAGAGUAACGGAGGAGCACGAAGGUUGGCUAAUCCUGGUCGGACAUCAGGAGGUUAGUGCAAUGGCAUAAGCCAGCUUGACUGCGAGCGUGACGGCGCGAGCAGGUGCGAAAGCAGGUCAUAGUGAUCCGGUGGUUCUGAAUGGAAGGGCCAUCGCUCAACGGAUAAAAGGUACUCCGGGGAUAACAGGCUGAUACCGCCCAAGAGUUCAUAUCGACGGCGGUGUUUGGCACCUCGAUGUCGGCUCAUCACAUCCUGGGGCUGAAGUAGGUCCCAAGGGUAUGGCUGUUCGCCAUUUAAAGUGGUACGCGAGCUGGGUUUAGAACGUCGUGAGACAGUUCGGUCCCUAUCUGCCGUGGGCGCUGGAGAACUGAGGGGGGCUGCUCCUAGUACGAGAGGACCGGAGUGGACGCAUCACUGGUGUUCGGGUUGUCAUGCCAAUGGCACUGCCCGGUAGCUAAAUGCGGAAGAGAUAAGUGCUGAAAGCAUCUAAGCACGAAACUUGCCCCGAGAUGAGUUCUCCCUGAGACUUAGAGUCUCCUGAAGGAACGUUGA